GGAGCUGUGGUGUAGUGGUUUAACACGCCGGCCUGUCAAGCCGGAGAUCGCGGGUUCGAGUCCCGUCAGCUCCGCCA
RNAcentral lists this transfer RNA (77 nucleotides) under Bacillota bacterium. RNAcentral's name for it is "tRNA-Asp". It matches the Rfam family "tRNA". Rfam says of the family: Transfer RNA (tRNA) molecules are approximately 80 nucleotides in length. Their secondary structure includes four short double-helical elements and three loops (D, anti-codon, and T loops). Further hydrogen bonds mediate the characteristic L-shaped molecular structure. tRNAs have two regions of fundamental functional importance: the anti-codon, which is responsible for specific mRNA codon recognition, and the 3' end, to which the tRNAs corresponding amino acid is attached (by aminoacyl-tRNA synthetases). tRNAs cope with the degeneracy of the genetic code in two manners: having more than one tRNA (with a specific anti-codon) for a particular amino acid; and 'wobble' base-pairing, i.e. permitting non-standard base-pairing at the 3rd anti-codon position. Lineage: Bacteria; Bacillati; Bacillota. The record is from RNAcentral.